RNAcentral lists this ribosomal RNA (362 nucleotides) under Ephyrina figueirai spinicauda. RNAcentral describes it as "partial 12S ribosomal RNA". The record is from RNAcentral. Lineage: Eukaryota; Metazoa; Arthropoda; Malacostraca; Decapoda; Oplophoridae.
UAUUAUACUUGGUUGAAAUAGGUUAAACUUGAGUAGUAAUCAGUUAUGUUCUUGAAACUUAAAGGAUUUGGCGGUAUCUCAGUCUAGUUAGAGGAACCUGUUUUAUGAACGAUAAACCACGAAUUAUCUCACUUCUUUUAGCUAUGUCAGUUUGUAUACCGUCAUUAUUAGAUAAUCUUUAUAAAGAAUUGUUGAAAUAGAUAUUUUUAAUAUAUUAGAUCAAGGUGCAGCCGAUAGGGAAGCAAGUAAUGGGUUACAAUAUAAUUUAAUAUAAACGGAUGCAAGAGUAGAAUGUUUUUUGGAAGGUGGAUUUAAUAGUAAUUGUGUUUUAAUAAGGGAUAUUGAUACCAGCUCUGGGAUAU